Molecule: transfer RNA, 74 nt
Filed under: Pachylemur jullyi
Lineage: Eukaryota; Metazoa; Chordata; Mammalia; Primates; Lemuridae
Description: tRNA-Gln
Rfam family: tRNA
About the family: Transfer RNA (tRNA) molecules are approximately 80 nucleotides in length. Their secondary structure includes four short double-helical elements and three loops (D, anti-codon, and T loops). Further hydrogen bonds mediate the characteristic L-shaped molecular structure. tRNAs have two regions of fundamental functional importance: the anti-codon, which is responsible for specific mRNA codon recognition, and the 3' end, to which the tRNAs corresponding amino acid is attached (by aminoacyl-tRNA synthetases). tRNAs cope with the degeneracy of the genetic code in two manners: having more than one tRNA (with a specific anti-codon) for a particular amino acid; and 'wobble' base-pairing, i.e. permitting non-standard base-pairing at the 3rd anti-codon position.
Source: RNAcentral
UAGAAUGUGGUGUACUCUGGAUAGCACGGAGGAUUUUGAAUCCUUAGGAGUAGGUUCAAUGCCUAUAAUUCUAG